CCUACGGGAGGCUGCAGUCGAGAAUCAUUCACAAUGGGGGAAACCCUGAUGGUGCGACGCCGCGUGGGGGAAUGAAGGUCUUCGGAUUGUAAACCCCUGUCAUGUGGGAGCAAAUUAAAAAGAUAGUACCACAAGAGGAAGAGACGGCUAACUCUGUGCCAGCAGCCGCGGUAAUACAGAGGUCUCAAGCGUUGUUCGGAAUCACUGGGCGUAAAGCGUGCGUAGGCUGUUUCGUAAGUCGUGUGUGAAAGGUGCGGGCUCAACCCGCGGACGGCACAUGAUACUGCGAGACUAGAGUAAUGGAGUGGGAACCGGAAUUCUCGGUGUAGCAGUGAAAUGCGUAGAUAUCGGGAGGAACACUCGUGGCGAAGGCGGGUUCCUGGACAUUAACUGACGCUGAGGCACGAAGGCCAGGGGAGCGAAAGGGAUUAGAUACCCGGGUAGUC
RNAcentral lists this ribosomal RNA (446 nucleotides) under uncultured bacterium. RNAcentral describes it as "partial 16S ribosomal RNA". It matches the Rfam family "Bacterial small subunit ribosomal RNA", at positions 338 to 795 of the family's 1533-position model. The record is from RNAcentral.